UCUUAGCUUGCUAAGGCCGAUGGCGACCGGCGCACGGGUGAGUAACGCGUAUCCCCCCUUCCUUACACUCUUGGACGGCCUUCUGAAAGGGAGAUUACUAUAAGAUGUUAUCAUGAGUAAGCAUUUUCGCAUGAUUAAAGGUUUACCGGUGUAAGAUGGGGAUGCGUUCCAUUAGAUAGUAGGCGGGGUAACGGCCCACCUAGUCUUCGAUGGAUAGGGGUUCUGAGAGGAAGGUCCCCCACAUUGGAACUGAGACACGGUCCAAACUCCUACGGGAGGCAGCAGUGAGGAAUAUUGGUCAAUGGACGAGAGUCUGAACCAGCCAAGUAGCGUGAAGGAUGAAGGUUCUAUGGAUUGUAAACUUCUUUUAUACGGGAAUAAACGGAUCCACGCGUGGAUUUCUGCAUGUACCGUAUGAAUAAGGAUCGGCUAACUCCGUGCCAGCAGCCGCGGUAAUACGGAGGAUCCGAGCGUUAUCCGGAUUUAUUGGGUUUAAAGGGAGCGUAGAUGGGUUGUUAAGUCAGUUGUGAAAGUUUGCGGCUCAACCGUAAAAUUGCAAUUGAUACUGGCAGUCUUGAGUACAGUUGAGGUAGGCGGAAUUCGUGGUGUAGCGGUGAAAUGCUUAGAUAUCACGAAGAACUCCGAUUG
RNAcentral lists this ribosomal RNA (648 nucleotides) under uncultured Bacteroides sp. RNAcentral describes it as "bacterial SSU rRNA". It matches the Rfam family "Bacterial small subunit ribosomal RNA", at positions 73 to 715 of the family's 1533-position model. The record is from RNAcentral. Lineage: Bacteria; Pseudomonadati; Bacteroidota; Bacteroidia; Bacteroidales; Bacteroidaceae.